AAAGGAAUAGAGGAGAAGAAGAGAAAAUAGAAUUCUAUUUUCUCUUCUUCUCCUCUAUUCCUUU
This 64-nucleotide microRNA precursor is filed under the name Aegilops tauschii subsp. strangulata. Its description in RNAcentral is "pre miRNA MIR164". Lineage: Eukaryota; Viridiplantae; Streptophyta; Magnoliopsida; Poales; Poaceae. The record is from RNAcentral.